RNAcentral lists this transfer RNA (64 nucleotides) under Menida musiva. RNAcentral's name for it is "tRNA-Pro". The record is from RNAcentral. Lineage: Eukaryota; Metazoa; Arthropoda; Insecta; Hemiptera; Pentatomidae.
CAGUAAAUAGUUUAUUUAAAAUAUUAAUUUUGGAGAUUAAAGAUAAGUUAUGACUUUUUACUGA